AGAGGUGUUGGAAGCAGAGGGAAGCAGGGAAGGGAAGUUGUCAGUGGCCUUCAGAUAAGAGGACAUUCGACCUUGGCUGAGACCAAGGUCCUCUCUGGAGGCCCCCCCAGCAUGCCAGCACAGCCCCAGGGGAGGCUAUGGAAGUCUCUUUGCCUUCAGCAGCCCCGCUCAGCCAGGGCUGGAUGUUGGGCCUCUCGUUAUCUGCUUAUGCCACAUGGAGGCAAAUCAUGCUGGGCACAGAAGACUUGGCUGGCCUGCAGGAAGCUGGAAGAGCUUCUGUCCCUCUGGGGUCAGAGGUGGCUGGAAUUUGGCAGUCGGGGACAUGGGAACUUCCUGUGACCCUCCCAGAGCUGAGACUGGCAGCAGGAACCAGACAGGGAGCUCGUGGUGGUCAAGAAACGACAGAGAGAUUUGCAUGGCCACUUCCUUCUACAGAGAAGCAUCGGCAGUGGGCUGAGCGAAGGAGUCUCAGAGCCUUCCCUGACCACCAGCCAUGUGAGGCUACCGAGUCCUUGAACUGUGGUUGUUGAGAUGUGCCUGGAGUUGAAACACACCGGACUUCUAAGACUCAGUACAAUGUAAUGUAAAGUAGUUUGUUUGUUUGUUUUGUUUUUCAAGACAACUUUCUCUGUUUAGCCCUGGCUAUUCUGGAUCUCACUCUAUAGACCAGGCUGGCCUUGAACUCAUCUGCGUGUGCCACCACUGUAAAUUACUGACAACUAUUUAACAUUUAUUGAAUGGGCUGGUUUUUUUUUUUUCAAUGUGAUAUAAACCAGAGUUACCUAGGAAGAAGAAACCUCAUCAGAGAAUUGUAUCCAUCAUAUAGGCUCACAGAUAUGCCUAUGGGGACGUUUACAAAAUAAUGAUAGAUGUGGGAGGGCCCAGCCCACUAUGGAUGGUGCCAGCGCUGGGCAUCAGGCCAGUGAGCAACAGUGAUUGCUCCCUCUGCUCUCUCAUGAGUUCUAUCCCCGAAGCCUCUCAAUGAAGGACUGUGGCAUGGAUGUGUAAGCCAAACGAACCCUUCCUCCUCACAUUGCUUUUGGUCAGGGUUUUUCACAGCAUCAGAAUAGUCACUAUAUAUUUAACUGAUUUAUCAAUACAUGUAUAUGUUAGAUAUGUUACACUCAAUAAAGUAUACUCCAAAACUAAA
This is a long non-coding RNA of Mus musculus (house mouse), 1150 nucleotides long. RefSeq annotates it as predicted gene 826. The record is from RefSeq and is marked validated. Lineage: Eukaryota; Metazoa; Chordata; Mammalia; Rodentia; Muridae. The transcript has 3 exons.